AUUGGGGGAAGUAAUUUUUUGAGACAUAUGAGGGACAAGUUCCUUAUCCUUUGGCCUAGGGGAAAGUCCCUGGACCAUGGGCAGAGAGAGUAGACUACCCCCGUGAGUCACAGAUAGUCCACCAAGCAAUCCUCUUGGGGCCAGCCGAGUGGUGUGUAGCGGGAUGUCAUCUGUCAGUUCUCCUAGUGACACAGGCAUUGUUCCUUGCAUGCACCAACCAAAUGGGGCUCAUUCUCAGCCUGG
This 243-nucleotide RNase MRP RNA is filed under the name Microtus ochrogaster (prairie vole). RNAcentral's name for it is "RNase MRP (ENSMOCG00000011346.1)". It matches the Rfam family "RNase MRP", at positions 32 to 266 of the family's 266-position model. Rfam says of the family: RNase MRP is an enzymatically active ribonucleoprotein with two distinct roles in eukaryotes. In mitochondria it plays a direct role in the initiation of mitochondrial DNA replication. The record is from RNAcentral. Lineage: Eukaryota; Metazoa; Chordata; Mammalia; Rodentia; Cricetidae.